Drosophila mojavensis is the source of this 994-nucleotide long non-coding RNA. RefSeq lists it as uncharacterized. The transcript is spliced from 2 exons. The record is from RefSeq and is a predicted model, not a curated record. NCBI's taxonomy places the organism in Eukaryota, Metazoa, Arthropoda, Insecta, Diptera, Drosophilidae.
CGCGCUUCAGGGUACGCUCAUCAAUGUUCUCGGCGACCACCAAUGGAGGGGCGCACGCAAAACAGGCUGUUUCGCCGGGACGUAUGAACUGCAGCAUUGAUGGCCAUGCGAGCCUCAAAGUUGUCGACGCAACUGAGCACCAGAUCGACAGGCUGGCCCUUCUGGAGCCCGGACUCUGAGAUUGUGGUCAGGAACUUAUCAAAGUUUUCGACAGUGGUAAUAUUAUAGUUGUGCGUCUCAAUGACAACGUCUGGAUUGAUGAAGCUCAGUGUGCGCGCUGCUGCCUCCACCUUGGACAGGCCGGCCUGGUCGGGCGUGAAGAACAGUCGAUUCAUAUUGGCCAGUUCCACCUUGUCGUAGUCGAAGAGAAUUAGCUUGCCAAUGCCACAGCUGUCAACGAAAAUGUUACUUCUUGUUGCCUUAAUUAAAUUUGCAUUUCCAUUUGGCUUACCGUGUCAACAUAUCGGCUGUCACGCUGCCCACGCCUCCGACGCCCACAAUCGCCACCGCCUUAUCACGUAUGCGCUCAUAGUCUUUGACAAUGUUCAUGCGCUGCAGCGCCAUGAGACGGCUGUAGGGAUUGGAGUCAACAACUUCGGCGGACAUACGCUCGAUGCGUUCGCGUGCAAUGCGCGUUGAAGUCUUUUGCUCUUCAAGCUCUGUUUUCAGCUCGGCAAUGAUUGCCUGCAGUUCAUCAAUGGCGGUGGACAUCUUCGAAACGGAAUGGAAUGGACUCCACAAAAGAAGAAAACAAAACCAACGCUAGCCCCAAAAUCCUAAUAACAAUUGAGGGCUGUCGUCGUGUCACUUUCGCUGGAACAGCUGUGCGGCGUUGCCAGAUGUCUUGCACAUCUAACAAUUACUAUCGAUAACGCUAACGCUUUAGAGCUGGGCUUCAGCCGUGAAGCACGAAAUAUGUAAAAAUAUAAUUUUGGAGCAUGAGAUUCUUAAUUAAAAAAUUUUGUGAGUGCAAUUAUAAGACUUAUUUGCAAUA